This 374-nucleotide long non-coding RNA is filed under the name Androctonus crassicauda. The record is from RNAcentral. Lineage: Eukaryota; Metazoa; Arthropoda; Arachnida; Scorpiones; Buthidae.
CCACAACAUGAGGAACUGUAUUAAAGGGUCGCGCCAUUAGGAAGGUUGAGAACCACUGCUCUUAAGUAUUUUAAAUUACAUUUAACAGUAAUCUCUUGCCAACAAUGCUGGAUUUAUCAUUAAGCUAAAUUAACUAAAGCUUGGGCCUCAGCUUUCAGGGGCCCUCUAAAUUUUAAGAAAAACUUGAACAGAGAAAAAUUUUUUAUGCUAUCAUUUAAAAUAAGUGAUUGAAAUUCACCUCUGGUAAUCAAAGGUCGUCAAGAUGGCUGCUGAUUUUUAUAGUCUAUUUACUUUUUAAAUCAUUUGAAAGCAAUAUUAAAAUUUUGAUCACUUACUAAUGAUAGAAUCUAUGAUUUUAAUCGCUAUUGGGCAUU